GAAUUCGCCCUUAGAGUUUGAUCCUGGCUCAGGACGAACGCUGGCGGCGCGCCUAACACAUGCAAGUCGAACGGAGCUUAGAGAGCUUGCUUUUUAAGCUUAGUGGCGAACGGGUGAGUAACGCGUGAGUAACCUGCCCUAGAGUGGGGGACAACAGUUGGAAACGACUGCUAAUACCGCAUAAGCCCACGGUACCGCAUGGCACUGAGGGAAAAGGAUUUAUUCGCUUCAGGAUGGACUCGCGUCCAAUUAGCUAGUUGGUGAGGUAACGGCCCACCAAGGCGACGAUUGGUAGCCGGACUGAGAGGUUGAACGGCCACAUUGGGACUGAGACACGGCCCAGACUCCUACGGGAGGCAGCAGUGGGGGAUAUUGCACAAUGGGGGAAACCCUGAUGCAGCGACGCCGCGUGGAGGAAGAAGGUUUUCGGAUUGUAAACUCCUGUCGUUAGGGACGAUAAUGACGGUACCUAACAAGAAAGCACCGGCUAACUACGUGCCAGCAGCCGCGGUAAAACGUAGGGUGCAAGCGUUGUCCGGAAUUACUGGGUGUAAAGGGAGCGCAGGCGGACCGGCAAGUUGGAAGUGAAAACUAUGGGCUCAACCCAUAAAUUGCUUUCAAAACUGCUGGCCUUGAGUAGUGCAGAGGUAGGUGGAAUUCCCGGUGUAGCGGUGGAAUGCGUAGAUAUCGGGAGGAACACCAGUGGCGAAGGCGACCUACUGGGCACCAACUGACGCUGAGGCUCGAAAGCAUGGGUAGCAAACAGGAUUAGAUACCCUGGUAGUCCAUGCCGUAAACGAUGAUUA
This 806-nucleotide ribosomal RNA is filed under the name uncultured bacterium. RNAcentral's name for it is "bacterial SSU rRNA". It matches the Rfam family "Bacterial small subunit ribosomal RNA", at positions 1 to 815 of the family's 1533-position model. The record is from RNAcentral.